GUUACAAAUUUCUGUAUAAUAAUUUAUCCUAUCUGUGCUAUAAUGUAUAUCUAAUUCUAGAUUUUCAAUGUUAUUUAUUAUCUUGUGUUGUUCUUCUCAUAGUGAGUUUUUUAAAUUAUGUAAACUAUCACAUUGUACUUUUAUCUAAAUUUUCUAAAGUUUUUUCUAUCCAUAUUAAUUUUUCUUUUAGGUCUUCCAUUAUUUGUCUAAUUCGGUUUCUAU
This 222-nucleotide long non-coding RNA is filed under the name Capsicum annuum. RNAcentral describes it as "long non-coding RNA (CANN_LNC014008)". Lineage: Eukaryota; Viridiplantae; Streptophyta; Magnoliopsida; Solanales; Solanaceae. The record is from RNAcentral.